GUACGGGAGGCAGCAGUGGGGAAUUUUGGACAAUGGGCGCAAGCCUGAUCCAGCCAUGCCGCGUGAGUGAAGAAGGCCUUCGGGUUGUAAAGCUCUUUCAGCCGGAAAGAAAACGCAUUGGCUAAUACCCCGUGUGGAUGACGGUACCGGAAGAAGAAGCACCGGCUCACUACGUGCCAGCAGCCGCGGUAAUACGUAGGGUGCGAGCGUUAAUCGGAAUUACUGGGCGUAAAGCGUGCGCAGGCGGUUUCGUAAGACAGAUGUGAAAUCCCCGGGCUUAACCUGGGAACUGCAUUUGUGACUGCGAGACUAGAGUGCGGCAGAGGGGGGUAGAAUUCCACGUGUAGCAGUGAAAUGCGUAGAUAUGUGGAGGAAUACCGAUGGCGAAGGCAGCCCCCUGGGUCGACACUGACGCUCAUGCACGAAAGCGUGGGGAGCAAACAGGAUUAGAUACCCCGGUAGUCAC
Molecule: ribosomal RNA, 466 nt
Filed under: uncultured bacterium
Lineage: Bacteria
Description: bacterial SSU rRNA
Rfam family: Bacterial small subunit ribosomal RNA
Source: RNAcentral